GAACUAUUAUUUCUUUGUUUUGAAAACAAAGUUAAAGAUUGUAUCUUGUAGUUUU
Molecule: transfer RNA, 55 nt
Filed under: Nippostrongylus brasiliensis
Lineage: Eukaryota; Metazoa; Nematoda; Chromadorea; Rhabditida; Heligmosomidae
Description: tRNA-Ser2
Source: RNAcentral